This is a non-coding RNA of Acanthosepion pharaonis, 113 nucleotides long. The record is from the annotation of a GenBank genome assembly. Lineage: Eukaryota; Metazoa; Mollusca; Cephalopoda; Sepiida; Sepiidae.
UAUGGCCACAUCACAUUGAAACACUGGUUCCUGUAAAAUCCCCAAAGUUAAGCAAUGUCAAGCUUGGUCAGUACAUAGAUGGGUGACCACUUGGGAAUAUUAGGUGCUGUAAG